This 468-nucleotide ribosomal RNA is filed under the name uncultured bacterium. Its description in RNAcentral is "partial 16S ribosomal RNA". It matches the Rfam family "Bacterial small subunit ribosomal RNA", at positions 28 to 507 of the family's 1533-position model. The record is from RNAcentral.
GACGAACGCUGGCGGCGUGCUUAACACGUGCAAGUCGGACGGAAAGGCCCUGCUUUUGUGGGGUGCUCGAGUGGCGAACGGGUGAGUAACACGUGAGUAACCUGCCCUUGACUUUGGGAUAACUUCAGGAAACUGGGGCUAAUACCGGAUAGGAGCUCCUGCUGCAUGGUGGGGGUUGGAAAGUUUCGGCGGUUGGGGAUGGACUCGCGGCUUAUCAGCUUGUUGGUGGGGUAGUGGCUUACCAAGGCUUUGACGGGUAGCCGGCCUGAGAGGGUGACCGGCCACAUUGGGACUGAGAUACGGCCCAGACUCCUACGGGAGGCAGCAGUGGGGAAUAUUGCACAAUGGGCGGAAGCCUGAUGCAGCAACGCCGCGUGCGGGAUGACGGCCUUCGGGUUGUAAACCGCUUUCGCCUGUGACGAAGCGUGAGUGACGGUAAUGGGUAAAGAAGCACCGGCUAACUACGUG